AAAAUCUAAAUAAAAAUCAGUAAAAACAAGGAUUAGAUACCCUUUUAUUUGAAUUUGAAAUUUAAGGUAUUAAAAGUUAUAUUCUAAAAACUUAAAGGAUAUGGCGGUGUUUAAUUAUUUAGAGGAACCUGUUUAUUAAAUUGUAAGUACACAAUGUAUUUUACCUAAUUAAUAGUUUGUAUACCAUUGUCCUGUAAUGUUUAAAAAAGUGUUACAUAUAUUAAAAAAUAUAUUAGGUCAGAUCUAGGUGCAAUUAAAUAGGAUUAGAUAGGUUACAAUUUAUAAAUAAUUAGAAAUAUUAUUAAAAAAAUAUUUAAAUUGAAUUUAAAAGUAAUUAUAAUAAUUAGUAAGAAAUAAUGAAUAUUUUUAAACAAGUACAUAUUGCCCGUCGCUCUCUUCAGUGUUUAUCUGAAA
RNAcentral lists this ribosomal RNA (414 nucleotides) under Styloniscus sp. Valdivia. RNAcentral describes it as "partial 12S ribosomal RNA". The record is from RNAcentral. Lineage: Eukaryota; Metazoa; Arthropoda; Malacostraca; Isopoda; Styloniscidae.